Bombyx mori (domestic silkworm) is the source of this 416-nucleotide long non-coding RNA. RefSeq lists it as uncharacterized. The record is from RefSeq and is a predicted model, not a curated record. The transcript is spliced from 2 exons. Lineage: Eukaryota; Metazoa; Arthropoda; Insecta; Lepidoptera; Bombycidae.
CUUGCCUGCUGGUUUUGAACACCGGUACAGUCACGUCGCUCGAUACGAAUACACCGGACGUCUUAUCCUAUAGGCCACGAUGUCCUGGAUUGAUUUGAUUGGACGUGUGUACAAAAUUUGAAAUCAAGGAUGAUGAAUAAGCAAAAACAUUGUAAUUUUUGUAUAUAAAGGCAAAUAUAAUAGAACCUUGUGUAAAGAGUAGGAUUGUUUUGAAUAUACCCUAAAUAAAUAUUUAAUCUCAGACACACUAUUUAUGCAAGAUUGCUUCAGAAAAAUGAUUGGUUUGUAAUAUAUUUAAAAGUAAUUUGCGCCUGCCAUCAUUAUCUGAGCAAAGAUAUAAUUGAAAAAUAAUAAAUAUGUUCAUAAAUUAUUAACUUGCUAUUAUGUUUAUAAUAAAUAGAGACGCUUUGUUCUAA